RNAcentral lists this long non-coding RNA (954 nucleotides) under Cottoperca gobio. RNAcentral's name for it is "lncRNA (ENSCGOG00000018780.1)". Lineage: Eukaryota; Metazoa; Chordata; Actinopteri; Perciformes; Bovichtidae. The record is from RNAcentral.
UCAGCAUUACGCAGCGUAAAGGAUCUUGGUUCCCCUGCUGCAUUCGAGACUACUUUCAGACGCAUGAAUGUUAUGAACGUCACAAGAAUAUUCUGAAACCAGUGCGCUCAUGUGCAGCUUGAGAAGUCGGACCCUGGUGCCUACUAAUAAGUGUGUCUGACUAAGUGUACAGGAGUGUUGAGAUCUCAUGGUGGUGGUCAGUGAGCUCCGGGUGGUCUUUAAAACCCCAGAACAGUCAAGGUCAGACCUUCAACCUCCCUCCAGGAACGUUUCUGCCGACUGCCCUUGUGUUUGUCAGUCCGGUCAAGAGGUUUUCGGGUAAUGAGCUUGUUGUCGAUAAAAGACGGGUCGCAGAUCAUCGUCGGAGCAGCCGCUGCUGGCAUCGACACUGCUGCACAUUCCUGAUGGUUCCCGUUACAGCGGAGAUCUGAAGCAGCUGGAGUUCAACGAGUUUAGUAACCGGUGACUCGAAGGGGCUGGCGUUUGCUUUCAUUCAACUAGUUGGAUGCAGCUCAUUGCAGAUCUUAUGUCCACCGCGAUUUAUUAACCAAUGAUUCAUCGCGGUGAAGGGUAACGUUCAGUGGCUUUAUGAGACUCCACGCUGUCCACGCAUCCUUUUCUCUCCAGACUAAAAAUGCUGCUUUUUCCAAAACGCCCUCCAGAGCUGGGUGGUUGUUGCAGACCCUCCUGCAGUCCCACGUCUUACUGCAGCUGUCGUGCUUAUAGACUACUGAAGAUACUGAUCUGAAUGGGAAGGAUGCAAAGGUGGAAGCAGUCAGUGAUGGAUUUGGUUUCACUCUCUCAAUGGAACACACACACACAUACUGACAUACUGCAUGGUUUUUAAUACUACCUACUUCCCCCUUUCUUUGAGAGGACACAGAUACACCCUGCAUGGGCCCCCGUGGUGAUCUACAUUGUGGUUGGGAAGUACCUAGUUUUACAACUGCCAUG